This 747-nucleotide ribosomal RNA is filed under the name uncultured Methanomicrobiaceae archaeon. RNAcentral's name for it is "bacterial SSU rRNA". It matches the Rfam family "Archaeal small subunit ribosomal RNA", at positions 85 to 837 of the family's 1478-position model. Lineage: Archaea; Methanobacteriati; Methanobacteriota; Methanomicrobia; Methanomicrobiales; Methanomicrobiaceae. The record is from RNAcentral.
ACGGCUCAGUAACACGUGGACAAUCUAACCUAUGGAGGGGGAUAACCCCGGGAAACUGGGGAUAAUACCCCAUAGACUAUGGAUGCUGGAAUGCUCUGUAGUUGAAAGGUCCGCCGCCAUAGGAUGGGUCUGCGGCCGAUUAGGUUGUUGUUGGGGUAACGGCCCAACAAGCCUGUAAUCGGUACGGGUUGUGGGAGCAAGAGCCCGGAGAUGGAUUCUGAGACACGAAUCCAGGCCCUACGGGGCGCAGCAGGCGCGAAAACUAUACAAUGGCGGGAAACCGUGAUAAGGGAACUCCGAGUGCCCGUAAAAUCGGGCUGUCCAUCGGUUUAAAUAACCGGUGAAGAAAGGGCCGGGCAAGACCGGUGCCAGCCGCCGCGGUAAUACCGGCGGCUCGAGUGGUGGCCACUAUUACUGGGCUUAAAGCGUUCGUAGCUGGUUUGUUAAGUCUCUGGGGAAAUCUGCCGGCUUAACCGGCAGGCGUUUCAGGGAUACUGGCAGACUAGGGACCGGGAGAGGUGAGGGGUACUCCAGGGGUAGGAGUGAAAUCCUGUAAUCCUUGGGGGACCACCUGUGGCGAAGGCGCCUCACCAGAACGGCUCCGACAGUGAGGGACGAAAGCUGGGGGAGCAAACCGGAUUAGAUACCCGGGUAGUCCCAGCCGUAAACGAUGCGCGUUAGGUGUAUCGGUGACCACGAGUCACCGAGGUGCCGAAGAGAAAUCGUGAAACGUGCCGCCUGGAAGUA